AGUUUGAUCCCUGGCUCAGAUUGAACGCUGGCGGCAGGCCUAACACAUGCAAGUCGAGCGGCAGCGGAAGGAAGCUUGCUUCCUUGCCGGCGAGCGGCGGACGGGUGAGUAAUGUCUGGGGAUCUGCCUGAUGGAGGGGGAUAACUACUGGAAACGGUAGCUAAUACCGCAUAACGUCGCAAGACCAAAGUGGGGGACCUUCGGGCCUCACACCAUCGGAUGAACCCAGAUGGGAUUAGCUAGUAGGCGGGGUAAAGGCCCACCUAGGCGACGAUCUCUAGCUGGUCUGAGAGGAUGACCAGCCACACUGGAACUGAGACACGGUCCAGACUCCUACGGGAGGCAGCAGUGGGGAAUAUUGCACAAUGGGGGAAACCCUGAUGCAGCCAUGCCGCGUGUAUGAAGAAGGCCUUCGGGUUGUAAAGUACUUUCAGCGGGGAGGAAGGCAGUGAACUUAAUACGUUCGCUGAUUGACGUUACCCGCAGAAGAAGCACCGGCUAACUCCGUGCCAGCAGCCGCGGUAAUACGGAGGGUGCAAGCGUUAAUCGGAAUGACUGGGCGUAAAGCGCACGCAGGCGGUUUGUUAAGUCAGAUGUGAAAUCCCCGAGCUUAACUUGGGAACUGCAUUUG
This 631-nucleotide ribosomal RNA is filed under the name Brenneria sp. C-46. RNAcentral's name for it is "bacterial SSU rRNA". It matches the Rfam family "Bacterial small subunit ribosomal RNA", at positions 10 to 629 of the family's 1533-position model. The record is from RNAcentral. Lineage: Bacteria; Pseudomonadati; Pseudomonadota; Gammaproteobacteria; Enterobacterales; Pectobacteriaceae.